AAAAAAAUCCGAUUUUGACGUCUUCAUGUACGCCCGCCUAGCCCGUUCCCGGACCCGCAUACCUCCGCCUAGUCCUUCUUAGUCUCGCCCAAGCAUUCUGCUUUUUGAUUUUGUGGUUGAUUCAGAAGGGGUAGAUUAUCCGACGAGACCAGAGGGGCACUUGGGCUUCAUUUUCGAAGAGGGGAGGGGUGCGCCACCCCUCUUAUCCUUCUGUAGCUUCGCCUAUGCUCUAGCCCCCUGGAUCGCAAGCAUUUUGUCCCUAUAAUAGUUCCCGUAAAGCAUAAAUCUUCAGAAGUUCAUCCUCCCCAAUAACAUAAUCGCCAGCGGCCUUGAAUUCCUUGCGAAGCCGGACUCGACUCGUCCUCUCGAACAAUCGGAUUCGAAGAUCUGAUACGAUAAAGGAAGCGAGAAGGAGAAACGAAGAGGGUAUGAUUGGGUUUAAGAAAGUUUCAUUAAACUUUACUAUUCAUCCACCUGCUUUGAAAAAAAGCAGGUUUUGAGAAGCAGUAAAAUGUUGCUUCCAUUUUUCUGCUUAUUUUGGCUAAAACUUUGAAAAGAAGCGCUUAUUUUUAUAUUUAUCAAACACAUUUUACACUCCAACUUUUAUUCAUAGCUGUUUUUUUAUAAUUUCAGCCGUGCCAAACUGGUACUUCAUCACACUCUUUAUCCGUAAUUUCAUUGCUUUCCACUCUCCACUCAAAUCCCGCUUUUAGUAAAUUAGUUUAGUUUAAAAUAUCGCUCGAACAAAAAACAAAGCCGAGUUCCCAAAGUCCUUUUGGCUUUGGCAUCCAUAAAGGAAGAACUUUAUAAUCAAAUUCUCAAAAAGUCGUCAAAUUUAUCAUCUGGGAUAAGGAUUAUAUGGGUAUCGAAGGAGUGGAAGAAUCGGGAGGCACGGGGGUGCCCCUAUCGAAAUUCAGGUACAACUCGCCGUUUGUUCAAGUGAGUCUCAUCGGAUUGGUCUGUUUCUGCUGCCCUGGCAUGUUCAACGCCCUCUCCGGCAUGGGCGGCGGAGGCCAGGUCGACCCGACUGCCUCCAACAACGCCUCCACUGCCCUCUUCACCACCUUCGCCAUCUUCGGCAUCCUCGGUGGCGGCAUCUACAACAUCCUCGGCCCCCGCCUUACACUCCUCUCCGCCUGCUCCACCUACGUCCUCUACGCCGGCUCAUUCCUCUACUACAACCACCACAAGCACCAGGCUUUCGCUAUUGUCGCCGGAGCAAUCCUCGGAAUCGGCGCCGGCAUCCUCUGGGCCGGCCAAGGUUCCAUCAUGACGUCGUACCCUCCCUCGAAUCGAAAGGGGACAUACAUCUCGAUUUUCUGGAGCAUUUACAAUAUGGGUGGCGUCAUCGGAGGACUAAUUCCGUUUGUUCUUAACUACCACCGGAGCCAAGCGGCUUCCGUCAACGAUGCAACUUACAUUGGGUUCAUGAUUUUCAUGUCCAUCGGGACUCUUUUAUCCCUCGCUAUCCUGCCCCCCAGCAAAAUUGUCCGGGAUGACGGGACUAAAUGUACGGACAUUCAGUACUCAAACGUCACAACUGAGGCCAUUGAGAUUGCCAAGCUGUUCACAAACUGGAAAAUGCUUCUUAUAAUCCCGGCUGCUUGGUCGAGCAUUUUUUUCUACACCUACCUAUUCAACAACGUCAAUAAAGUUAUGUUUAAUAUGAGGACUAGAGGAUUGAACAAUGUGUUCUACUGGGGAGCGGAGAUUUUCGGGUCCAUUGGGAUUGGAUACGUUAUGGAUUUCAGCUUCAAGAGCAGGAGGACUAGGGGUUUCGUGGGCAUUUCGGUUGUUGGUGUCCUCGGGACUGCAAUUUGGAUUGGCGGACUUGCCAACCAACUCAACUACUCUCGAAGCGAUUUGCCUGAGAAGUUGGAUUUUAAGGACUCCGGCUCUGCUUUCGCAGGACCGUUCGUGUUGUAUUUUAGUUUCGGGUUGCUUGAUGCCAUAUUCCAGAGAAUGGUUUUCUGGGUCAUUGGAGCCUUGGCUGAUAACUCUGAAAUUCUAAGCAGGUAAUAGAAUAUUCCUUGCUUCCCAAGUCUUUAACCUUUCAAUGAUCUUUGUGCGUUUGGGCAAUUUUUCGUGUGCAGGACUGGACAAUCCAAUCCAAUCCUGCGCACGAAAUGUGGACUUAGUGGCAUUCACAGAACAAUGUGUGAUUCUAAAAAUUUAUUUAAUUUUGUGCAUGUUUUGUACAGGUAUGUUGGAUUCUACAUGGGAAUACAGAGUGCAGGGUCAGCAGUAGCUUGGCAAGUCGAUGCGCACAAGGCAUCCUUCCUCUCCCAAUUGGUUACGAAUUUCACGCUUUACACCGUGAGUUAUCCGCUGCUGGUGGUUCUGAUCUUGCUGGCCGUGAAGGAUGAAGGUAAGGCUGAUGUGGAGGAAUUUACCAAGGGGAAGGUUGCUGAAUUUACCGAGGAGAAGUUGCUGAGCCUGCAGCCUCAGAGAAGUGAUCGUAAUGAUCGUCGGCUUAAUUAGCAGAUGAAAUUAGUCAUAAGCCAUCCAAAUGUUUGUCUUAAUUACGUCCAUACAAUCGAAUCUUCACGAAUUAUUGUAAUGGAAAUGCCAGUAUAAUUGAUGUAGCACGUUCAAAUUGUCAAAAAAUUUACAGAGUAAUCAAAGUUCAUGUUUUGAUAAAAUGUCUGAAUGACUAGUUCUUGACCACGAUUGUCCAUUAUAUUCAUGGAUGCUUGGAAGGAAUACUGAGAGAGUCUUCUACUCAUCGAGGAACCUUCAUGUCAAACCCUAGCUAGUGAUAGAGCCAGAUGAUAUUUGACGUGAUUUUCCUAUGAUCUCUCGAGCCUUGAGUAUUUACAAAUGCUUGGUUAACAAUCCUUCCACCCUUGGACCAACUGGAGGCACGCACAGUGAUGAUGCUUCCUCAGAAGGAUCUCAUCAUGGUGUUUGAAUGAUCGAGGAAACAACUAAGCAAGAUAAUGCAAAGGAAUCAUGGUUUUUGCUUCAGAACCGCAAGAAAGGAGCAUAGAGUUUGAUAUCUCAUAGUUGUUUGCCAAUUCAAUCAGUUAUUGGGUUCUUUCGCACCAGACAUUUUUCAUCGGAGGAUGCUUUCGUUGUUGUUUUAGCCAGAAGGUAAGACGCGUCCACUCAAUAUGAGCAAUAGAUCAGGUUUCCUUUGCCCGUUGGAUUUCGGAGGCCACCCUACUCGUAGUGUGUAUUUGCUGGUAUGUGAUUGAGUUGGGCUGUCUAAAUCCUAAUUAGUGUUUUUUAUGACAUGUUAAAAGCCUUCUGGAGUUUUAACCACUCGAGCAAGGCUCGAGCAGUCCUUGUGAGGCCUCGGUGGGGGUCCAAGUACCGCUUGAAGGGGCCUCGACAGGACUCGAGCAUUGCUCUAGAUUAUCUUGACGGGUUUUCGUCAUAUUGUUAAACGUCUUUUAGUAAGGAAGCGUCGUAAUCGUGGAGCAAUAAUGUGUUUGACUUUCGGAUACAUGGUCCGAGAUUUCGAUUUGAUACUUGAUGUGUUCGUUGGAUCUUGUUGCAGAUUAGGAUCUACUUCCAAAAACUACAGUAGAAAAUGGUGUAGAGCCAAAGUCUAUAAUCUUGAAACGUAGGUCAUCCCUUUAUCCUUUCCACAACCCUAUUGCUGGUGGUCCGUUCUUGGACCACCAUAAGUACCGAUGAAAAGUCAAUCACGUCUUGUUAAAAUUUUCACAAUUGAUUUGGAAUAUUAAUAUAGUGAUAUUCUCGGCAUAUGUAACGUUUAAGUCAUCAUGAUAUUGUGUCUGUAUCUUAAGUCAGUCGCACAACAGUAAUAAUUGAACUCUGAACAAGAUUAUAAAAGUUGCUUGAGUAAUGAACUUAUUAAACAAAAACUCAUUCAUUUAGGAGACCGAGUUUACAAUUGUCGAAUGUUUUUUUUUUUUCCACAAACCAACAAAAACAAUAUCUUCCUCUCAAGAACGCUCGAUAACUCCCUAUUGAAAUGAGUUUUUAAUCCUUUUAUUUUCUUUAAAAUGAGACUAAUUAGUGGUUUCGUCAUGACAAUUUACUUUUUAUAGACCGAAAAAAUCCGCAGAAUAUAUUGAAAUGAGUUUUUGGUCGAUCAGGAAUUGCAGCCGCCCGACUUGCCGUUUAAUGAGCUAAUAAUGCCAAAAUGCUUUAACGUCACUUGGUGCGCUUGCGUUUGAAGAGUUUGUCGAUGUCAACAGCAAACUUAGACUUUUCUGUGAAGUAUGCCAAACAAGUUGAAAACAACAUAUAGCCACUCUUAAUUUACAAUUUCUCCCUCACGCUUGGGAAGGAAAAUACAAUUACUUGAUUAUCUGCGCCUGCAUAAUCAUAUUAGACAAACCAAGUUUAAUUAGUUACUGAAUUAUUUGAUGUUACGGAAAACAGAAGAUUAUACGUUGCAGACAUGAGCUUAAGUUGGUUAACAUAUUGUUUCCGUUUUUUACCCAACUUCAAGUCAUGCUCUUAAUAAUAAACAAUACAUCGUUAUUAUGAGGAGAUUUUUCAGUUGUCGGAAACACGACCUGAUACACUAAUAAAAUAAAAUUGUACCUAAUAUUUUAUCCGUACGUCUUUAUUUCUUUAAAUCUCAUACCAUCGAAGUUGUUUUCGAUCUUCACACUUUAUCUCUCUUUUCUUGGACCCUGAAUCAAGGACGGUUUGGCAUGGACAUAUACUCAUAUGCCCAUUCCAACUUGGGAAUUGAAAUACAAGAUUCCCUUCCACCCCUAAUCUAACGAAUGAUUAAAAAUUUGAAACUGUGAUUUUUUUAUGCAUAUUCAUAUCCCAUCCCGUCAGGAUUAGGGAUUUAUAAUCUGACUUUUCUCAGCAUCAUUCUCACACGCCCCGCUGGACUCUGAAAACCCAGACAAAGCCUGGACUCCAUAAAUUGUCAUUUGCUAUGCAUUCUUUGUCCAAUCCAAGGGUCCUUGUCCGUUUUGACCCUUGCAAUUGGUCCCGGACUAUAUCGUCCCGAGCUAAAUCCUUCUGCUAAUCACAACCACAUAAGUUCAUCCUUUCGAUUCUCCACCAAAUCCCCGUAAAUUAGAUUAGUUUAGAAUAUCGCUCGAUAAAAAGUUCGGAUCCCAGUUCCAUUUGGCAUUCAAAGGGAGGAACUUUGUGAUUAAAAUCACACAGAAGUCGUAAAAUUUAUCACCUGGGAUUCGAUGGUUUCCGAAGGAGUGGAAGAAUCGGGAGGCACGGAGGUGCCCCAGUCGAAAUUCAGGUACAACUCGCCGUUUGUCCAAGUGAGUUUGAUCGGAUUGGUCUGUUUCUGCUGCCCUGGCAUGUUCAUGGCCCUCUCUGGCAUGGGCGGCGGAGGCCAGGUCGACCCGACUGCCUCCAACAACGCCUCCACCGCCCUCUAUACCACCUUCGCCGUCUUCGGAAUUCUCGGCGGCGGCAUCUACAACAUCCUCGGCCCCCGCCUCACUCUCCUCUCCGCCUGCCCCACCUACGUCCUCUACGCCGGCUCAUUCCUCUACUACAACCACCACAAGCACCAGGCUUUCGCUAUUGUCGCCGGAGUAAUCCUCGGAAUCGGCGCCGGCCUCCUCUGGGCAGGCCAAGGCGCCAUCAUGACGUCAUACCCUCCCCCGAAC
This 5570-nucleotide long non-coding RNA is filed under the name Malus domestica (apple). RNAcentral's name for it is "long non-coding RNA (MDOM_LNC001257)". The record is from RNAcentral. Lineage: Eukaryota; Viridiplantae; Streptophyta; Magnoliopsida; Rosales; Rosaceae.